GAUGAACGCUGGCGGCGUGCCUAAUACAUGCAAGUCGAGCGAACGGACGAGAAGCUUGCUUCUCUGAUGUUAGCGGCGGACGGGUGAGUAACACGUGGAUAACCUACCUAUAAGACUGGGAUAACUUCGGGAAACCGGAGCUAAUACCGUAUAAUAUUUUGAACCGCAUGGUUCAAAAGUGAAAGACGGUCUUGCUGUCACUUAUAGAUGGAUCCGCGCUGCAUUAGCUAGUUGGUAAGGUAACGGCUUACCAAGGCAACGAUGCAUAGCCGACCUGAGAGGGUGAUCGGCCACACUGGAACUGAGACACGGUCCAGACUCCUACGGGAGGCAGAAGUAGGGAAUCUUCCGCAAUGGGCGAAAGCCUGACGGAGCAACGCCGCGUGAGUGAUGAAGGUCUUCGGAUCGUAAAACUCUGUUAUUAGGGAAGAACAUAUGUGUAAGUAACUGUGCACAUCUUGACGGUACCUAAUCAGAAAGCCACGGCUAACUACGUG
Molecule: ribosomal RNA, 497 nt
Filed under: uncultured bacterium
Lineage: Bacteria
Description: partial 16S ribosomal RNA
Rfam family: Bacterial small subunit ribosomal RNA
Source: RNAcentral